This 253-nucleotide ribosomal RNA is filed under the name uncultured bacterium. RNAcentral's name for it is "partial 16S ribosomal RNA". It matches the Rfam family "Bacterial small subunit ribosomal RNA", at positions 524 to 776 of the family's 1533-position model. The record is from RNAcentral.
UACGGAGGGAGCUAGCGUUGUUCGGAAUUACUGGGCGUAAAGCGCGCGUAGGCGGCUUUGUAAGUUAGAGGUGAAAGCCCGGGGCUCAACCCCGGAAUUGCCUUUAAGACUGCAUCGCUUGAAUCCGGGAGAGGUGAGUGGAAUUCCGAGUGUAGAGGUGAAAUUCGUAGAUAUUCGGAAGAACACCAGUGGCGAAGGCGACUCACUGGACACAUAUUGACGCUGAGGUGCGAAAGCGUGGGGAGCAAACAGG